AUCCAGUCCUAUAGUCCACAACUUCCCUGGGUUGAAGUGAUGACCCUGAAUAUGGAGGACAUUUGCACAUGGACCUACAAUGAGCAAGACUCUCUUCUUCUCUCCAGCAAUGACUGGACACCACAGCCCGAGGACUCUUCUUCAGCUCUCUGGAGAGUGAGGACAUCUUGCACCCAGGACAGCUGCAGAAGACUCUGUUGCCCUUCUUGAAAGGGCGGCACCAGACCCUGUGGGUGAAGAGGCCAAGGUGCUAGCAAAGCCUUGCGGCACAGAACUAGGGUGACCAGUAUACUGGGGUCUCCAAGUCACCAAUUUUUCCAAUUCUGUUCUGAAUUAAACUUAGGACAUCAGUAAAUAGAUGAGUGGAAUGGAGCUAUUAACAAUCAGCAGAAACUGCAUUGUCUUUAUUUAGCAGAGCAUAGACGAACACAUGCUUUAAAAACUAGAAUCAGACAUGUUUUAGGUUAAGAAAAUUUUGAUUAGGGAACAUUUUGAUGUGUAGACUUAUUCUUGAAAUCUGCCCUAUUUGAAGUUUUCAAAGUGUGUUAAAAUGCAUUAUGAUGUUGGGAAAUUUGUUUCCUCAGAGAAGCAACAACUACUCACAGGAAGUUCUUAUCUUCCGGGUGGCCCUGAUUCUCACUGAAUUGACAGUGCUGUGCCUUGGGAUGGUGAUAGCCCCUUUUAUUUCCAUUACAGUGAGGUUUGCCCCUGUGAUUGGUAUUGAUUGCUAACUGUGGGCACCUUUCCUUGUAUCAGUAAUGAGUCCCCUAUCUCAAAUGUCAGGUGUUGUCAGAUACCUUUAUCCCUCUCUCCGGGAUAACUGUGUGGAGGAAGCAGCUGAAGCUGGAGAGCGACCAUUUGUGUGGAGCAGUAGGAGCCAUCCUUAGUCUGGGAACAUCUGGAUCUGCACCGAGAGAUGACACCUAUGCAGUCCUCUUCUGGCCCUGAGUGUGGACUGUCUAGUUGGAUGGUAUUGACAAGGCAGUGAAGGCACUUACAGAUUGUAUAAGGACCAGAGGCAAAAGCCAGCUCUGAGUGGAUUCUUUCUUUGAUCAGUUCUUCAUCUCUGGAGCACCAUCUAUUUAUUGGUGCUGGAAUGACAACCACCAAUGUUAAGAGAAUUCAAAAAGCAGAAGCGGCGUGAUUGAUUUCUGGUGGAUAAAAGAGUGCAUGAGGUAAAGGAGGAGCGGGACAAGAGGGCUGAUAAGCCUCCUGUCCAGCUGAGUGAACUGGAGAAACCCGUAGGUGAGUGGGGACAAGGGUGAUCUGGGCAGAGCGGGGUACCCGGCUGUGGGUGGGGCUUACACUGCCCUAGGAGACAGGGUGGACUCAAGGGCACAGUGGUAAAGGGAAGGGCAUCUGUGCCAGGAGCUGGCAAUUUAGUCCUAUCUCUGAGCCUCAGUGUCCCCACUUGCAGAGAGGGUAUUGUGCCCCUGCCAACCCCCACCCAGGAUCCAUACAGGAGCAUGGCUUCAGGCCUGGCCAUGAUGUGGUUGUGAGGAAACAGUCAUGAGGAAGCCAAGGCCCAAGCAAGGAGCCUGGAGUGGGGGCUGAGCACUGAGAGCUUGUUCAGGGCCCAGAGACCUGGACCCUUUCCACUACCUCCUUGUCACCUGUGCCCCAGCCCUGCAGCCCCAAGCAGGGCCAUGUCUGGAACAUCAGCAGCUCCUGUGGGAGGUGCAGAAGGUGAAGAAGGAGCUGGAGGGCGCCUUGGGGCAGCUAAAGGAAGAAAACCUGGCUCUGCGGAACAAAAUGAGGGAGCAGGAGGAGCGCCUUCUGCAGCUUGACACCAG
This is a long non-coding RNA of Cavia porcellus (domestic guinea pig), 1793 nucleotides long. RefSeq lists it as uncharacterized. Lineage: Eukaryota; Metazoa; Chordata; Mammalia; Rodentia; Caviidae. The record is from RefSeq and is a predicted model, not a curated record. The transcript has 4 exons.